GUUUCAAACUAGAAAAGACAGAGGAACAUUUAUUGGAAAACAGGAGAGCAGAGCAGCACCUCCAGCUCCCAGCUGUGUUUCUAUAAAUAGUGACAAAGACCAAAGAUCAUCUCCAUUCCAUUCUUCAGUGAUGAUCCUGGACAAGCAGAUCUAAGACUGACUGAAGUCCAGAAGAUGGAAGACUGGGAUCUAAAGGACGACAGAGCAGAAACUUCGAGAUCCACGGGUCCGUCUAUGAGGAGCGACAGGUCCAAAGAAAACAUUUUAGACUUCAGUGCAGAAUCUGGACCCUCAGAUCCAAGAGAGAGGAAGAGCACACCCCAGUGUGGAGAGAAAUCCAGAACCGGAGCUGGACCGCUGACAGCCAGUCAGAGCAGUUAUGCAGCAG
Cyprinodon tularosa is the source of this 388-nucleotide long non-coding RNA. RefSeq lists it as uncharacterized. The record is from RefSeq and is a predicted model, not a curated record. NCBI's taxonomy places the organism in Eukaryota, Metazoa, Chordata, Actinopteri, Cyprinodontiformes, Cyprinodontidae. The transcript is spliced from 3 exons.